UACGUAGGUGGCGAGCGUUGUCCGGAUUUAUUGGGUUUAAAGGGUGCGUAGGCGGCCCUGUAAGUCAGUGCUGAAAUAUCCCGGCUUAACCGGGAGGGUGGCAUUGAUACUGCGGGGCUUGAGUGGAGUCGAAGUAGGCGGAAUUGACGGUGUAGCGGUGAAAUGCUUAGAUAUCGUCAAGAACACCGAUAGUGAAGACAGUUUACUAGGCUUUUACUGACGCUGAGGCACGAAAGUGUGGGGAUCAAACAGG
RNAcentral lists this ribosomal RNA (253 nucleotides) under uncultured bacterium. Its description in RNAcentral is "partial 16S ribosomal RNA". It matches the Rfam family "Bacterial small subunit ribosomal RNA", at positions 524 to 776 of the family's 1533-position model. The record is from RNAcentral.